RNAcentral lists this long non-coding RNA (899 nucleotides) under Equus caballus (horse). RNAcentral's name for it is "lncRNA (ENSECAG00000039246.2)". Lineage: Eukaryota; Metazoa; Chordata; Mammalia; Perissodactyla; Equidae. The record is from RNAcentral.
GGGAGGUGGAGGGAGGAGGUAGGGAAACAGCUGUGGAAAGUGAUGUCAUUUGACAAGGCUGGGAAGGAGCAGCUUGGUGAGAGAACUGGCCUCUCACCCCGGUGCAGAGCUCUCCCAUGCGCUCGCCUGCAUGAAAAGCCGGGAGGAGUGAUCGUGCUGUUGCUCAGGGGCGGGCUUCAGCUCCGAGUGGGAAGCGACUUGCCUGGUUCCCACAGAGAAGAGGACCUGGUCAUGUGCCUUGAAGUGUGGCCAGAGGGAUCGCAGGAGAAAGCAGAGGAUUGUACCAACACACUCUCCUGUCAACUUGCAGAGGGGUUCCCUUUUUCCAGCUGCUUAUCAGACUUGCAAGAUUUUGCCCAUCUGAUCAGCGUGAGAACAAGUCUCCGCUGUUGCCAUGUGUUUCCCUGAUCACCAGCGACGGAGCUUGGCGGAACUUGCAAUGCCUGGUAAUAUUGUGAAACUGGCAACUGGUUCCUAAUUACCCUGAAGUUCUAAAGAAAUUUCAAGUGGGGCACUUGUACCAACCUGAAAUGACAUGAACAGAGUGUAGCUCAACAAAUCAAAAUGGAACGAGCGAAAGAGGAGGCCACGGGAACAACGUCUGGAUGUCGUAAAAAUAUGUAAUGCUUUCAAAAUCAUGUGUAGUUAAGGAAAAUUUUGAAGAAAUGCCAGCUGGCCCAGCUUGUGCACCUAUCCUAUCGUUAUUCAUUGCAUUUCAUGAUUUUUACAGAAAAUAAUUUUGUUGUGUGGAAGAGGAGUGAGUUACAAAAUGAUCUGCACUGGUGCCAAGCACUCUGGUUACACCACUGAUUUGCCACCUCUGCUUGGGCUCCACGGGCUGGGUGCCCUGGUGGGCUCUCAGUCAGGGGCCAAGGCGUGGCAGAGUCAGUUACCCUCAG